AAGUAGAAUUCCAGGUGUAGCGGUGAAAUGCGUAGAGAUCUGGAGGAAUACCGAUGGCGAAGGCAGCUUCCUGGCAUCAUACUGACACUGAGGCUCGAAAGCGUGGGUAGCAAACAGGAUUAGAUACCCUGGUAGUCCACGCCGUAAACGAUGUCUACUAGUCGUUGGGUCCCUCGAGGACUUAGUGACGCAGCUAACGCAAUAAGUAGACCGCCUGGGGAGUACGGCCGCAAGGUUAAAACUCAAAUGAAUUGACGGGGGCCCGCACAAGCGGUGGAGCAUGUGGUUUANUUCGAUGCAACGCGAAGAACCUUACCUGGUCUUGACAUACACAGAAUCUUGUAGAGAUACGAGAGUGCCUUCGGGAAUUGUGAUACAGGUGCUGCAUGGCUGUCGUCAGCUCGUGUCGUGAGAUGUUGGGUUAAGUCCCGCAACGAGCGCAACCCUUGUCCUUAGUUACCAGCGGGUUAAGCCGGGAACUCUAAGGAUACUGCCAGUGACAAACUGGAGGAAGGCGGGGACGACGUCAAGUCAUCAUGGCCCUUACGACCAGGGCUACACACGUGCUACAAUGGUAGGUACAGAGGGCAGCUACACAGCGAUGUGAUGCGAAUCUCAAAAAGCCUAUCGUAGUCCAGAUUGGAGUCUGCAACUCGACUCCAUGAAGUAGGAAUCGCUAGUAAUCGCGGAUCAGAAUGCCGCGGUGAAUACGUUCCCGGGCCUUGUACACACCGCCCGUCACACCAUGGGAGUUGAUUGCACCAGAAGUGGUUAGCCGAACCUUUUAGGACGG
Molecule: ribosomal RNA, 793 nt
Filed under: Psychrobacter celer
Lineage: Bacteria; Pseudomonadati; Pseudomonadota; Gammaproteobacteria; Moraxellales; Moraxellaceae
Description: bacterial SSU rRNA
Rfam family: Bacterial small subunit ribosomal RNA
Source: RNAcentral